Molecule: long non-coding RNA, 890 nt
Filed under: Sus scrofa (pig)
Lineage: Eukaryota; Metazoa; Chordata; Mammalia; Artiodactyla; Suidae
Description: lncRNA (ENSSSCG00015034379.1)
Source: RNAcentral
GAAUCCGACUAGGAACCAUGAGGUUGCGGGUUCGGUCCCUGCCCUUGCUCAGUGGGUUAACGAUCCGGCGUUGCCGUGAGCUGUGGUGUAGGUCGCAGACUCUGCUCGNUAUGCCAUGGACGCAGCCAAAAAAUAAAGGAAUAAAUAAAAUAAAAACAGACAUCCCUAAAAAAAAAAAAAAGCUCUGCGUAUGACCUGGGGAUUGAGGAUUUCUUACCACAGGAAGUCGAUACAAAGAGAGACUUAAGGUUAAACUGGUGUCAGUAAUCAACAUUGCAAAUAUACUGCUACCUCCUGACAAAGAACAGUAAAGAGUUUUAUUGGCAGCAAAUGGGGGGGGGGAGGAUGAUAAGCAACAACAAACCUUGAAAGAAAAAAAAAAAAAGCCUAGUUGUCAAAAACCUAAAAUUAAACUUUUACCUCAAUUCUGAUACUAUUUUAGCAGCAUGUGCAGGGCCUCCAGCUGCUACAUCCUGAAGUGUGAUCCUGUCGCUGUCACAGUUGAAGGAAGACUGUGUCCCAGCAGUGCCUUGACUAAGAGGCCUCUCUCAGAGAUACGAGGGUGGCAUCGGAUGGCGCUCCAGCUACCACAAGAAGCGCUGGCUGCUCCCUCUCCUCCUUCCCAGAACACUGACUUCUCCAGUUCUCCCAGUGGCAUACCAACUUCUACCCUUUCUCUAUCCCAUUUUCAGAUUUCCAGUUCUUACAAAAUUUCUUUGAGGCUCACCCAAGCUUAAAGCUGAUGAACCACAGAACAGGUUGGAACCAGAGCUGUGUCUUAAAAAUAGGAAUCAUUUCUAAAUUAAUUGACUUGAAGUCAAUACUUUCCCACCAUGAAGCCUAUUACAUAAAUGAAUAAAACUAUAGAGUAAUGAAUUAAAGCUAAUUUU